UGAUUUUGCCCGAUUUGUAAGUCAAAAUGAAUGUUUUUCGAUGGCAAUUAAUGGUAGUGAAGAACCAAACGCCACAAACUCUCUUGAUGAGAAGGUCCGUCAUUUAAUGUUAAUCUUUAGUAAAGGGGCUUCAUUACCUGUUUCCACUCGUAGAGUUAAAAGAAUGCGUACCCUCGUAAUUAACGAUAGUAGAUCAUUAAAUGGCGAGAUCCUAGAAGAAUUAUUUAGGGAAUUGACAAGUUUAAGGGCAUUAGAUUAUGGCGGAUCGCCCCACUCAAGGCCGUUGUUGACUGCGGAGGUUCCAAGAAACAUAGAAAAGCUGGUACAUUUGAGAUACCUUAAUUUGUCUUUUCAGAAAAUAGUGAAACUACCGGAGACAUUGUGCGAGUUGUAUAAUCUAGAAAAGUUAGAUAUUAGUUGUUGUUUGUAUCUUAGAGAAUUACCUGAAGGGAUUGGGAAGUUAAUAAACAUGAAGCAUUUACGAAAUAGAGGUACUAGUUCUUUAAGGUACAUGCCAGUAGGGACUGGGAGAUUAACGGGUCUUAGGACCUUGGGUCAGUUCCAGGUGAGUGCAGGAGGAGGUGUUGAUGGUAGGAAAGCAUGUAGGCUUGAAUCUCUUAAAAAAUUGGAACACCUUCAAGUAUGUGGUAUACGUAGACUGGGUGAUGUAUCAGAUGUGGGCGAGGCUAAGCGAUUAGAACUUGACAAAAAGAAAUACCUCUUCAGUUUGACCCUUGAGUUUGAUAAGAAGGAAAGAGGAGGAGAAACGAGGAAGAACGAGGACGAUCAACUUCUUCUUGAAGCCCUGCGACCACCUCUGGAUUUAAAGGAAUUAGUGAUACGGUACUACCGAGGCAACACUGUUUUCCCCAGCUGGAUGACGUCAUUAAUCAACUUAAAGAGUUUAGAUCUCUCUUCCUGCGAAAAUUGCGAGCAGCUGCCUCCUUUGGGAAAAUUGCCGUCCCUUGAAAAACUCGGCCUAUCGGACAUGAAGAGUGUGAAAAGAGUGGGUGAUGAAUUUUUGGGGAUAGAAAGUGAUCAUCAUGGCUCAUCUUCAUCUUCAUCGGUUAUUAUUGCCUUCCCCAAAUUGAAAUCACUCUCAAUUGAGUUUCUGCGCGAAUUGGAGGAGUGGGAUUAUGGGAUUACAAGAACGGGAAACACCGUCAUCAACAUCAUGCCACGUCUUUCUUCAUUGACAAUUGUUGAUUGCACCAAAUUAAAGGCACUGCCCAACCACAUUCAUCAAACGACAACGUUGAAGGAAUUGUGCAUUGUGGAUUGUGAGCUUCUGGAAGAACGUUACCGCAAGGGGGAAGGAGAAGACUGGCCUAAGAUAUCACACAUUCCCAACAUAGAUAUUUUUUAAGAAGGAUUUGCGCAUUCGAGAUUUGGCGUUGACAAGUAAUUUCUUCUCUUACUCUGAUUUGCUUUGUUGUUGUUUUUAAUCUAAUUAAGAAGCGUAAAUAGCAUUUUGAAUCAAACUCUAUAUCCGAAAUCUGCAAUACAUACUUUCUAAUAUUCUGAUUUUCAUAUCCUACCAUUUUUAAUUUGUGAGAUGGGUAACGUUACUGUAAAAGAUUAUUAAUGGAACAUGAGUAAUUCUUUUGCAGGACAAGUGACCUACAUUUAGUUUGGCUUUGGAGUUGAAUAAUAACCUUUCAAGGCCAGGACCCAAAAGCAGGAAAAACAAAAAAAGGAACGAAGCUUAAUUUUGCCACAGAUUACAUGUAUUGCCAUUAUUGACAAGUUUCUGGACAAGUGAUCAAGGGUGAGAGUGGUGCUACAACAUUGAAUAAAGCAGUCGUGACUGAAUUUAGGUUGUGUCAAAAGUGGUAAAUUAUUUGCAUGUGUAGCUAAUUUGACCAUUUCCUGAUCUAUAAGUCUAUAUUAAUUUUGAUUUUUAGUUGAGUGAUUACAUUUCAAGGUUUGCUUACUUAACAGGGCGACCAAUUUCUUUUAACUAAAUGUAUUAUAUGAUGCAGGAAGCAAGGCAGGAUAUGAAAUAAGAAGCUUAUUAAUGGCAGUUGGCAGUGAAUGGAGGCCCUUGACUAAAUUCUCAAGCGGUUGCACUGCAAUUACGCUUAUCCGUAGCCUCAGGUAAUUUCUUCUUCUGCAUUUUUGUAAUUUGUUAUCUAAUUAAGGGGCGUGAGCUAUUUUGAAUCAAAUUCUAUAUCAGGAAUAUAUGCAACAUUUUUUAAAAUUUUGAUAUGAGAGUAAUGAUGGUAAUUUCUCUUUUUUGUCUGUCAUCGAAUGUUAAAUAACAUUCACUAAGACUCUUGAGAGUCAUUUUUUGACAAUUGCAGGACAAGCGACGAAGAGUGAGAAUGGUGUUAGAUUGGGGAUUGAGGCAAAAGGAGGUAAAUUAUUGGCAGAGAAUUUGGGAGCUUGAGUGUACAGGGAUUUGCAAUUACAAUCUUACUCUGCCUUAGGUGAUUUCUUCUCCUGCUUUGUCAUUGGUUGUUCUCUAGUUGAAAAGCAUAAAGUAUUUCAAUCAAAUUCUAUACCAAGAAUAUGCAAAACUUUAUUUCCAUCUGUUUGCAUUGAUAACUUUGCGGCAUAUGCGCUAGUUAAAGAACAAACAGAAACAGAGGUCAGGAACAAGUUUCCUCUGCCGUCAUAUUUGAAAAUGCAACCAUUUCCGGGAAGUAGUUGGCAGCAAAUUCAUAUAAAGUGUAGACAAUAAUGAGCAAAAAGGUGAUUCACAAUUUUAUUUUUUUUAAAUUAAUUGUUAGGUUGGAGUUGUUAAAAGGCCAUUGAGCUAACCUAUGUCAUUAGUUACCUAGAUUGCAGGGGGUCCCGAGACUCCAAAGAAGCAUUGAAUUUUAAAAGGCAUGCAAUAAUUCUUGUGGGCGUAUGAGUUUGAUUUAGAAUCAAACUCUAGAUCAGAAAUCUGCAAUGCAUAUUUUCUAAUAUUCUGAUUUUCAUAUCCUACUAUUUUUAAUUUGUGAGAUGGGUAACGUUACUGUAAAAGAUUAUUAAUGUAAUAUGAGUAAUUCUUUUGCAGGACAAGUGACCUACAUUUAGUUUGGCUUUGGAGUUGAAUAAUAACCUUUCGAGGUCAGGACAACAAAAAAAUGAAUCUUAAUUUGCCACAGAUUGCACUUAUUGCCAUUAUUGACAAAUUUCUUCACAAGGGAUCAAGGGCGAGGAUGUUGAUAGAAUAUUGAAUAAAGCUGCCGUGACUGAACUUACGUUGAUGUCAAAAGAGGUAAAUUAUUGGCAUGCCUGACUAUUUUGACCAUUACAUGAACAUGAGUUUACAUUAAUUUUGAUUUUGAGUUGAGUGACUUUUUAAGGUUUGCUUACUUAACCGGGUGAUGUGAUGCAGGAAGCAGGGCAGGAUAUGAAAUGAGAAGCGUAUUAGUGGAAGUAUUGCCAGUAACAGAACCCAAAAAAAAGUGGAACCAUUUUAAGGCAGCAGUUGGCAGUUGGGAGUGAAUGGAGGCCCUUGACAAAAUUCUCAAGCAGUUGCAAUGCAAUUACGAUCAUCCUCAGCCUCAGGUAAUUUCUUCUCCUGCUUUGUUGUUAUUUGUUACCUAAUUAAGAAGCAUAAAGUAUCUUGAAUCAUUUUCUGUAUCUGGAAUAUAUGCAACAGUCUCUAAAAUUUUGAUGACUGUAAUGAUUGUAGUUUCUGCUUUCUGUCCGACAUCGAAUGUAAGACGACUUUAUUAAGACUCUUGAACCGAGACAUUUUUGACAAUUGAAGGGCAAGUGCUGAAGAGUGGGAAUGGUGCUAGAUUGGGGAAUAAAGCAAAAGGAGGUAAAUUAUUGGUAGUUUCUGCAGCCUUGUUUUCUUUGAAUCAGCACCUGAUUCACAAGACUCCAUUAAUUUGGCUUUUGAUGAGCUGAGUGAUAAAUUUUCAAUUUCUUUGGUGCUAAAUGUAUGUGUGAAGCAGGUAGCAGGGCAUGACUGUGGAAAAGAGAAGAUUUUAGUGAAAGCUGAAACUCAGAUAAUUCUACAUUUAUCUAAUUCACGAAAUUUUAUUUCCAUCUGUUACAAGAUCAAACUGAAGCAGAACUCAAAGAAAGUAAUCUACUUCUUGCGGCAAUCUUGCCUUCGCUCAGAUUAUGAAACCAUUUCCAUGCACCAAAUUCAUCCAAAAGUUUGAAUAAGUUUCAUGGUUGGACACUGUUGGCUUCUUUUUCUUUUGGGGUGCAUUUUGGUGCUACCAAGUGACAGCUGCAAGUAUGAUUGCACUAACCUGCUGCUGGGAAAUUUGAGGUUUUGAUGGCUGCCCAUGUUAUUGUCAAGAAACUCCUCAUGUAAGAAGCUGUGGUUCUUUUCAUCAGCUUGAACCUGAAACUGUUGCUAUGGAUAACUCACGUUUUUAUUCUCAACUAUAUCAUCUUUUUUAGUGUUUUGAAACUCUUAAGAUUAAACUUUGGUAAAAUGUUUUCAGUUAUCCAUGUAAUCAGGCUGAGGAUAAUUUAGUAAAGUUGUUUCCGCUAUUCAAAUGAAAAACCCCAUUGAUUUUAACCAUGAUAAAGCUAAUGUUCCCAAUGAUUACUGCAGGUGAGACUUGUGAAGAGGGUGAGUGAGGCAACUGCUAAAAUUCCUGGCUGGGAUACAGUAACUAGAGGCUGAGAUCAGGUGGUGGAAUUUUUUGUUCCGUGGAUGAUACCAGAAUUGUCCAGAAAAGAUUUGUUGAUACUAAUUACAGAUGAUAGAAAGAGGUAUAGGUGGAGAAGAGAAAUCUGCGAGUCAAAUUAGGGAUAAUUGAUUCUGAUACUAGUUAUAUUGAAAAUAAUAAUAACAAUUGCAUGAAGAUAGUCAAUAUUCUUCUCUAGAUAUAUUGUAUGGACUUCCUUGCUGCCUUUAUCUAUGUGCAUGUUGACUAAAGCUAAUCUAGAAUCAAUAGAGAGGGAUAUUUAUCUAUUUUGUUUAACAUAAGAGUGCUGUAUAAUUUUUCACUAAAUACACCUACAACAAACUAUUAAUAAUAAAGUGAUAGAAGAAUGCCUAAAAUAUAGGUAUUAAUGUCAUAAUAAGCCCAUGUGGAUCUCAGUGCCGCAAGUUCGAUAAAUGGCUAUCAAGGAUUGCUUAUUAAGUCAAAAUAUUCAAAGGACAAAAUGGUAAAACUAUAAGGGUGGAGUAAUAUGGCUAUCUUGGGUUACAUAGUAAGUCAACUACAUUCAAAGUAUAAAAUAUUAGAACCUGAACGGCGGAGUAGUCGUCGUUAGAACCUGAACGGCGGAGUAAUCGUCGUUAGAAUCUGAAUGAUAUGUCUAAGACGUUGCAUGCAUCUAGAAAAUUGCAGAUGAUUAGACCUUGCCAUCUAUGCGUUGUAUGAGGUUAUAGCAACUAUCUAUCUGGUCACCGUUUUCAAGUCUCAAUUGGUAGUCCAAACUCCAAAGAAAAGAAUGAUUCUACAAUAGCAUUAAGUGUUAAUUGGACACAAAAAGAAAUGUUUUAACCACUUUAAGGAAAGUAAAUGUAAUUUUGUGUCCUAAAGAAAAGGUAAAUGUAUGCACUGUCAAUUAAUCUUUGGUCGACCAGCAACAUCAUAAUUUUGUGUAGGUUCAUUUUUGUUUCUUAGAGUUUGUAAAAAGAAUGGGAAGAUUUUAAAAUAUAAAUUUCAUAUCUGUUUAUUACUGUUGUUUGGUCUAAUUUCUUAUGUAGAAUUUUCAGAAUCUGUAGGACAUUAGUUUAUAAUUUUGAGAUUUUGCAGCCAUAAAUGUUUUUUUUUUCUUUUUUCUUUCUUUUUUUUUUUGUUGGCAUUUUAUUUUGCUCCUUUAUCUAUGUGCAUGUUGACUGGCUGCAGUGAGUGAAAAUUUACCCAUAUAUGCUGGCUAUUCUUGGACAAUAUUAGAGAAAAUAAUCAUAUUAUUUCGCUUGAUGUGAACUUCCAUAACUUAUCAAUUGAAUUGCUGUAAAAUAUUAAAUAGUUUUAUUUUUCUUUUAUCGUGUAACUUGGACCAAAAAAGGAAAUGAGUUUAACACGACCCUCAUUCUGCUUCUUGCUUUGGUUUCAAACAAGUCUUUCUCCUUUAUGACAUUUAUUGUAAUUUCAUUUGGAGACAUAUAUCUGUCGUUCAAAUAUAUUUCAUACGUAAGCUGUUAAUAAUUCUGCUUGCAGAAAGCCUACAAAGCAGCUGUGUGAUGUAAUAGAAGACCAUAGUCUCGUCAAUUUUUCAACAUUAGAUAUUCAGGUCAUCAGCUUCUCAUGAAUUCUUUCCUGAGUUUCUUUGAAUUAUUUGUGAUGUAAUAACUUGUGCAUUUGAGAAACUGUUCUCAUGAAUUCUUUCCUGAGUUUCUUUGAAUUAUUUGUGAAUAAGUUCCUAAUCGGCUGCUUCUCCUCAGGAUAAGGAAAGUGUUGCAAACUGGUGAAGCAGCUGAUAGAUAAAAGCAAUGGGUACAUCUUUGCUGGCAUGGAUCGAUGCCAGUGCGGUUGAAUUCAGCAAGACUGCCGUUCGUGAUGUUGUUGAUUGGGAUUACAUUAAGGAUGAUGACAACAUUGAUUAAAAUGGGACGUGAAGAUAUAUGGUGUGCAAAUUAACCCAACCCAACCAAACCCGUACAUUUUAUCAACCCAACCCAACCCAACCCGUAAAAAAUCACACGGAUUAGGUUGGUUUCACGGAUUGGGCGGGUUAAUUCUAAUUUCUUUAUAAGUUUACCAAAAUUAGAUCUGCUUACCUUUGUUCAUUCAGCAACAACACUUACAAUUCACAGCUAGAGAAUCUAUCCAUUGACAAUUGUGGAUUAAAAUUAUAACACCUGAAUUCAAACAUAUCCUUAUGAAGUUAUGAAUUUGUUCAUACUUCAAAUGAUUUUUUUUUUCCAAGCUAAUAAAGCAACGACUUUGAUCAAACGACGACGUUGAAGGAAUUACGUAUUUUCAAUGUCCUUUGCCAGACAGACGCUGGAGAGAGGGAAAGGAGAAGACUGGCCUAAUUAAGAUAUCUCACAAAGAUUAUUAUUGAGUUAAAAUGUUAUUGUAAAAGAUGUUUAAUACAAUAAUAGUACUUCUUUUGCAUUGUUAUAAUGAGGCUGGCGGGUUUCCUCAGAGGAUGGAUCUGGCUCGCUAGUAUGCAUUUGGGAAGCUGCUAAUUAUCGGCCAUAAAAAGUCAGGGGGUUGUGGCUCGUCCGUCGCCCAGAAAUUCCUAAACUCAUAUAUCAAACUUCAGAUGAACUUGGGCAUUAUGUAAAUAUGUAUUUUUGAGAAUUAAACUAGUGCGUUAGAAAAAUUUUGAGCCAUUGUAAUCAUUUUAUUUUGCUAAGAGAAAAUUUUACUCUGUGUUUCGCUUUGCCUUUUGUUUUUUCUGUGAUAAUAUGAUUCAUACGAAUGUGAUUACACACUAUCAUGCAUCUAUUUUCAUUUGCUUGUCAUGAAUGAUCAACAUGCUCGAAAUAUUUAUUUAGGUUGGAAAUAUUUAAAUCUAUUAAAAUACUAUACACACCCAUUUAAAAAUAAAAAUAUGAUUAUCAUAAUGAUCGCGAAGAUAACACGAUAUCAUACAUAAAAUAAAAUAUUUCGCAAAAAAGAAAAGAUACACUUGAAUACAUUGGUAUAAAAAAUAUUUUAGUGGAUUCAAGUAGCACUAAUGCCCCCUUAUCAAAAAAUAUAUAAAGAUAACUAAUCUGAUUGGGUAUACCGUGUGUGUGUGUAAUAUUUUUUGAUAUUAUUAUAUAAUAUUUUUUAAAAAGAAGAGAGUGGGCAAAGUCCAAAUCAAUUUUCUAAUCCCUAUCUCCUUUAGGAUUUCUAGUCAAAGAGGCUAAAUUGCACGAAAUUGUGCUAGCUUAUUUGAUUUUAAAAUUUUCCAAUGCACUGUAACACACUCUCAUGCUUGUACAUAGCUCGAAAAUCUCUAGAAUUUACCAGAGUAGUGUACCAUGUAGCUUGUACAUAGGUUUUUCUGGAACACUCCAAGCGUUACUAAGCAUAAGAGCUUUGAGAACUCUCUAGACAUAAAACAUUCAAGGGUAGGCCUACCCUAAAAAUAGGGCAUGAUGAUUGCCAUUUGAGCAUACAAGAAGUAAGAACAAAUCAAGUAUAUUUGUAAGCUCCCAAACUCUCUCGUACACACUCUUGUGAAUAAUAUGCUUUCUCUUUGACUACAUUACUCUCUCUUCUCUCUAGUUUUUUUCGUAAGUAUCAUAGCUUAGCUAGUCGAAAAGUUCAAGUAGGAAUGAUAAUUUUUCCUGACAGGAUGUGGGAUCCCAUCUCAUUUGGGACGGGAUUGGGACACAUUUUUAUCCCACAAAAAAAUAUAGGGACGGGAGUAGAAAUUUUUUUAUCCCACUUGUAUAUAUGGGACAGGACUGAGAUUAACAAAUUCAGUCUCGUCCCGUCCCGUCUCAUUACCAACUAGGGAUGGAAAUUUUUCCAAUUGGGAUGGGCUCUCGCAGAAUCCCAUUUAUUUUGGGAUGCAAUUGAGACAUAUUUUUAUCCCAAAAAAAUAUAUCGAGAGUGAGACUUUUUUUUAUCCCACUUGCAUAUUCGGGACGAGACUGAGAUUAGUAAAUCUCACCCUAUCCCAUCCCAUUGCCAACCCUAAGUUCAAGGCUUACUUUGCAAUUAUCUCAUAAAAGUUGUUUUAAGUACCACAGGAGUUUGUUGUGCAAAAUACUCAUCCCGUGACAUUAGCUAAAUAAAAUUAUUUGAAAGCCACUUACCCAAACUAUUAAACAAAUAUUAUUCUUUUAAUAUGUAAUCUUUUAAUAUAAAACUUUUGUCUUAAUUUUCUAUCUCCUACAAUAAAUUUUAUGAUUUUAAAAAUUGAAAAAAUUAGUAACUUUUAGAUAGAGCAUUCCUUACUGUGAAAAGAAAUAUGAAUGGUAAUAUAAAACUUACUUAUUAUAGUAUAAUGCUUUUAGUUUUUUGAAAUAUAGGUUCUUAUUUUUUUCAAGAUAAAGUUCAAAGAAAACAAGUUAAAUGUUGUGGAAAAUCUUACGCACAUACAAUAAAUUAUGACAGCUAAAUGCAAACCUGGCUGAAGUAUUAGUUGUUUUAUUACAGAGACAAAAGGACAAUAUCACUAUCCAAGUCAAAAGCAACUCAAUGUGAGUCUUAGGGCACUCGCAGUGAAUCCCAAGAUAAACUAAUUUCACUAGCAAGUUGGAUACCAAAGAGUAAGGCUUCAGCCUCAAUUAUAUUAACAUUAGCUGAGUAAACAUUAAAUACCACAAUCAAUCUCAGAAAUCAUAAUUAAACUAUCAUGAUUAAAAAUAAAGUUUUUUUUUUAGAUAUCCGUUUGUAGUAUCUCUUUAGAUGACAAGUAGGAGAUAAAGUAAAUAAAUAUUGGUUGCGUAAAUAAAAAUAAAUAAAUUUUUUAACUGAAAAAAAAAUUCCUAAAAACUAAAUAGUUCAAACUUUUUUUAACAUGAAAUAAAUAUUUGAUGCGUAAAUAAAAAAAAUUUAACUGAAAAAAAUUCCCAAGAACUAAAUAGAUCAAACUUUUUGUUUAACAUCAUGGGUUUUGUAUAUUCAAUUGAACCGAACAACUAAAUUAAAUCGAAAUUACCAUGUUCGGUUCAAAUGAAUAGACGAAAACCGAACAGUUUAUAUUUUUAUGAACUGAUGGUGCGUUUACUUCAUGAAAUGAAAAUAUGGUGGAAUGAGAAUGUGUUAAAAUGAAAAUGAGGAAUGAGAAUGAGAUUCUAAUGUUUAUUUAGUAAAAAUAAAGGGAAAUGAGAAUGUGCUGGAAUGUCAUUGAUGUGUUUAUUUGACAAAAUAAAUGACAAAAGUAUCAAUUCGGAUCCUGCUAAUGAUAGUUUGCCAUAUCCUUUGUCAUUGAACUUUCUUACAAAUGCUGUGGUUUGUUGUAGUAUAAUUAGUUCAAUCAGAAACUUCCUUGAUGUUAAUAUAGAUAUGAGUGUGCUGUGAAUAUUGAGGACUUCAUUAGACUAAGUGAUGUGAUGAUGGAGCAUUCACUUGGUCCCAAUGGAGGUUAGUCAGCCCAUUGUUGUUUACUCUUUCUUGCUUUAUCACGCAAUGAUAUUCCUUUGCUUCACAACAAAUUUCAUGAAAUUAACUUCAAUCGAGUGGCUAUGUUCAUACGCUAUUGAGAUUUUAUGGACAAUGAUUUGGUAGACUUUAUAUGCCGUCUUCUUUCUUUUUGCAGUGAUAUGUUUGUAUGCAAUGCACUUGUACUUGUUCUAUGGUUUCUAAAGUAGGCGUUUUUAUGAUAAACUAGGUCUUGGGUAUUGUAUGGACUAUCUAGAGAAGAAUAUUGACUGGUUGCAGUCGAAAUUGGAACCACUUUUGAAAGGUAAGAAGUGGCCAUUUUCCUUCAUUCUAAUGCCAAUAAUGCUGUCAUGAGACUCAUAAAAAUUGUUAAAACGUUAAUGUUUUUGGUAUUUUGCAGAUCAUUAUCUUCUGUUUGAUUUUCCUGGCCAAGUUGAAUUAUUUUUUCUUCAUUCCAAUGCCAAGAAUGUUAUAAUGAGACUCAUAAAGAAGUUAAAUCUCAGGGUAUUGUUACAUCUUACGUCUAUGAAGGGACUCAAAGAGUUGAGAUGAAUUCAUCAUUAUUAUUUUGAUGCCAGAAUUGUGCAAUUCUCAGUUGCUUCCUUUCACAUGCAGUUGACUGCAGUGCAUCUAGUUGAUGCGCAUCUUUGCAGUGACCCCGGGAAGUAUGUUAGUGCUUUGCUUCUCUCGUUGUCGACGAUGCUACAUCUGGAAUUUCCCCCAUGUCAAUGUCUUGUCUAAGAUCGGCCUGAUUGAGAAUUAUGGAAAGCUAGGUGUGGUUUUAAGUGUAGCUCUCCUACUUGUUUGUUUAGAUUGAGAUAUCAGAUAUUGUCACAAGCUCCUAUCUGCUACAUUUCCUCACCAAUCAAUUACUUUGGGUAUGUUGCAGCUUUUAAUCUCGAGUACUAUACGGAUGUGCAAGAUUUGUCAUUUUUACAGCAUGCUCUGGGUCAGGACCCUCGUUCUGCUAAGUAUAGGUUUGAAUUCUAGCUGAAUCAAUGAUGCAAAUUAUGUCCAUUGCUAUUUCUGACUGUCGUUUCUAUCAUUUUCAAUUGUUACCUCCCCUUGCCAUCUACUGCCAUACUGCAAUGCCCACACAAAUGUUAUGAAAUUUGUCAAUGGAAAUGACAUUCUAUUUGUCCAGAGACAGCUCUUAGAUGCAAGUGAACAAUUUUUGGCUUUGGCCGUAGUACAGCCUUAGAUUUCAACUUGCCAUAUCUUGUCUCGGAAGUCAAAAGAAAGCAUAUAUGUUAGCCAAAUUUUAUUUGAAUUUCUUGUGUAACAAUGAAUGGGGAAAAAAAACAGUUCCUCUUUUGUUUUGAUCAGACUCAAUGAAUAAGUGGUUAAAAUGUGCCUGUACUAGAAAUAUAGAUGUGUGGUUUCAUAAAAUUUUCUUGAUCUUAAGAAAGAGUUAUCUUGAAAAGAAGAUAACAUGGGGAAUUGAACAACUAUACAGUCAUAUUGAUGUCUGUCAACUUGGGUCAUAUGGUGUCGUUUGGAUGGAGAUGUUAGGUCCCAGAUGGUAAACUUGUUAUCGAAUUCCAGUCUACUUCAUUCAUGCUUUGAUGACAUAUGUGGUGCAGCUUCUUAUCUAAGACCUGCAUAUGUUACAGUCAACAUUCUGUUCUGUAUUUGGCUGCCAUUCUUUUCAAUGAAUUCAAACCACUUUCUGAAUACUUGGAAAUUCAUCCAGUGUUGUCAUUGAGAUGCCAAUAUGAAAAGAAGCCAUAAUUGCCCUUGAUAGUAUGCUUAUUGAUUGCCUCUUGCCUCACUCAACCUCAGGAAUCUGCUUGUAUGGUGUUCUUCUAAUUUCAAUUGGAGAUAAAUAAUAUCUGUUGUUCAAAUAUAUUUUAUUUACAAGCUGUUAAUAAAUCUGCUUGCAGAAAGCUUACAAAGGAGCUGUGUGAUGUAAUAGAAGUCUACAGUCUGGUCAAUUUUUCAACCUUAGAUAUUCAGGUCACCAGUUUCUCUUGAAUUCUUUCUUGAGUUUCUUUGAAUUAUUUGUGAAUAAGAUCUUAGUUGACUGCUUCUCUUCAGGAUAAGGAAAGUGUGGCAAAACUUGUGAAGCUGAUAGGUAAAAGCAAUGGGUACAUCUUUGCUGGCAUGGAUGCCAGUGCAGUUGAAUUCAGCAAGAUUGCCGUUCGCGAUGUUGAUUGGGAUUAUUUCGGAUAUCCUUCUUUUCACCUAUUUUCAAUCUUGUUAUUCUCAUAUUCAUAAAACUUUUUGGUUAUUUAAUUAUGGUUCAUCAUAUGCAUCUGCAUCUUCUAACUUGUUCGUUUGAGAAACUAAUUUUGCCGUUAGGUAGGCUUCGAGCUUGAUGAGUUGAUUCAUGCUUUUUCAUAAAUGUACCAAAAUCAUGGAAACUUCUUUUUCCCAGAUAUUGUAUCCACACUUUUCCCAUAUAAUUGGGUCAGACAAGUUUUGCUUAACAAAGAUAUCUACAGUAGCCGAAGUGCAGGAGAAGUACAUUAAGGAUGAUGACGAUGUUAACUAAAAUGAGACGUGAAGAUAUGUGGUGUGCAAACCGUAAGCCUGCCUCUUAAUUUUGUGCAUGUUUACUUGCUUGUGAUUCACGUUUGUUAAUCUAUUUUGCUCUCUUGCAGGAGUUAUAAAGUUUUCAAUCAAUCAAACAUUUAACUCAAGUCCUUAGCUCUUCACGGCUUGAAUGGGUCAGAUAGGACAAGCGCCGAAGAGGUGGUUUUAAUCAAACCCCUCCUAAUUAUGAUGUAUGGUCCGAAUCUCGGACUUUUUGUACAAUAUCAAGCGAUUUUUUUUUGGUUGAAUCGGCUAGUGUACGCAAAUGUCGAUUAUUGAUUUUUCUCCAGUAUUGUUUGUAAUUACAAGAAACGAAGUAAUGAAAUUUAUCACUGCGUUCAUAGUUAUGCUUAAGCUCAAAGAUUACCGUCAAGAUCAUUUUGGGCCCUCAAAGAAACAUGAUGUUGACACAUGUAAAAUUAUGAAGCUUGUGAUUAAAAUACUUUUCACAUAUAUAUGUUAAGUUCUAUUAAUAAUUAAAUAUAUGAAUAAAUAUGGUCAAUGAGGAGAGGAUAAAAUAAAAUGGUUUCAUUUUUUGAAUUACCCAUCCGCUUCAAACUUCUAAGAAGUAGAUAUACAAUCAGUGGAAUACUGAAUUGAGUACGAGCUGCGGAUAACUUAUAAAAUUGGGAUACAAGCUUCAAGGAAAGUGUAUUGCUAUUCAAAUGUAGAUUUCAAAUUAAGAAGAUAUGCCAACAAAUUAUUCUAAAUGAUGAAAUGAGCUAUCUUGAUCAAAAGGUCAAGAACCUACCUUACUUCUCUUAGAGAUAACUUGCAUCAACCGUUGUGGUAUUGAUACUUGUCUUCAGCUAGUAAAAGUGAAAGUUUCACAAUUGAAAUAAAGCUAAGGGAAGAUGCUAUGCUCCAUUUAUUAUUAUUAUUAUUAUUGACGUGGUCGAGAAGUAAAGCCGUGCAUAUGAUGAAGUAUAAAUAAGAAUGCAAUAGCCCGGAAUUCAUUUACACAAACACUUCAAUAUCCUUUCGAUCACUUUUGCAAACAUCAAUUUGUCUCCUCUUGUAUUCACCAUGGUUGAUGCCAUCGUUUCCCCUCUCGUGGAGCAGCUGACUUCCUUCGCUGCUAAAGAGAUAAUACAACAGGUGAUCGAAGUUACACCCCCCAUAGUAUAAAUACUUCUAAUGAUUUUAAUUGGUUUUGUUUUUAUCGAAAACAUUAACUUUGCUUUAUUUUACGCAUUUAGGCAUUUUAAAUUUUGAAAUUUGAAUUGAAUUUAAUUAAAAUGUGAUUUAGUUAGUAACCACUUUUUUUUUUCAUUUAUAUUCUCAAUAACUACCCAUAUUUUGGUAACUUACUGUAACCCCCGUAUCUAAGAAAUUAUCAAAACCCACAAUUUUAACUCCACAUAAAUAUUCCAUGUUGAGCUAAGUUCGAUGUUGAGGUAAGUUUUUUGCAUAACAUUCAAAUUUGUCAAAUAGUCAUUAAUUUAAUGUUUAGUAAAAACUCAUCUCUGAAAAAUUUCAUAAUUUUCUUACAUUAUUUGAGUCUGGUAAGUGACUUCAUAUAAUUUCUUUUCAAUUUAAAUUUUAAUUUGGUUUCUGAUAUAGUCUCUUUACUGAAUUUAUAUCUUUUAUGAUUCUUGGAUUUUGGGCUCCAACUUUUUAGGAUUUGAUAGUCACAUUUUAUGGCAUGCUUAGAUUGAUGUUCAUGAUUUUUAGUACUCGUUAAGUGACUGAGAAUUUGACAAAAGUUUGAAAGGAAAUCCGUUUCACGAUUCUUAUGUGGAAGGUUCGUAAAAUCAUGAAAUUUGGAUAGGAUUCAUUAGCAAUAUGUACAAGACUGUCCAUAAAGUUUCAUAAUUUUUCAUUCGGUCGGGGGUGGUACAGGUGAAACUUGUGGUUGGUGUUGAAGAAGAAGUGAAAAGCCUUACCAGCCACCUUCAAGCCAUUCAAGCUGUGCUCAAUGAUGCAGAGGAAAAGCAAGUGAAGGACAAAGCUGUUAGACAUUGGCUGGGUAGGCUCAAGUAUGCAUCCUACGACAUUGAAGAUGUGUUGGAUGAGUGGAUCACAGCUAGACACAAAUUGCAAAUUGAGGGUGGCGUUGAUGACAAUGCUCUUGCUGCUCCUCAAAAGAAAAAGAAGGUAUGUUUCUGCUUUCCUGCCUCUUGUUUUGGAUUCAAACAAGAAGAAUUUGGUUUCAGACAAGUCUUUCUACGUUAUGACAUUGCCAACAAGAUCAAAGAAAUGAAUGAAGAGCUACAUGCUAUUGCUACUCAAAAAGACAUGUUUAAUCUUGUUAAGAGUGGCAAUAAAAGUGGUGAAAGACCAAGGCGUGUACAGAGUACCUCCUUGAUUGAUGAGGAAGAGAUUUGUGGUAGAGUUGGUGAGAAGAAUGAACUCAUAAGCAAGCUGUUGCGUGAGAGUAGCGAGCAACAAAAAGGCCUCCAUAUCAUCUCAAUUGUUGGUAUGGGAGGCAUAGGGAAAACUACUCUUGCACAACAAGCUUGUAAUGAUGACGAGGUGAAGAGAAAGUUUGACAAAAUUAUGUGGGUGUGUGUAUCAGAAACUUUUGAGGAGUUUAGGGUUGCCAAAGCAAUGGUUGAAGCUUUGGAUGGUCGUGAAUCUCAUUUAGGUGAAUUCCAAUCUCUUCUUAAACAUAUUGAUGAAUCCAUUGCAGGGAGGAGCUUUCUUCUUGUCUUGGAUGACGUAUGGGAUGGAAAUUACGUGAGAUGGGAACCAUUCUAUCGUUGUCUAAAGAAUGGUCUCCAUGGAAGUAAAAUUAUAGUUACCACACGUAGUGGGUCCGUUGCAUCCAUGAUGGGAUCCAUAGAUAUUAUUCCCAUUAAGGAAUUAGCUGAAGAGGAAUGUUGGUUGUUGUUUAACAAGAUAGCAUUUUUUGGUAGGCCUAUCGAGGAACGUGAAAAAUUCGAACGAAUUGGGCGAAGAAUUGCAGGCAAGUGCAAAGGUUUACCUCUUGCUGCAAAGAUAUUAGGGAGUCUUAUGCGCUCUAAACAAACUGAAGAAGAGUGGAAAAUAAUUUUAACUAGUGAUUUAUGGAAAGUAGAAGAGAUUGAGAAAGAUGUUUUGUCCUCUUUAUUGUUGAGUUACAAUGAUUUGCCAUCUAGAGUAAAAAGAUGUUUUUCAUAUUGUGCUGUCUUUCCAAAAGACUACAAUAUAAAAAAAGACAAACUAAUUACAUUGUGGAUGGCUCAAGGUUAUCUUAGUGCAGAAGAAGAUGAGGAGAUGGAGACUAUAGGUGAAGAGUAUUUUAGCAUCUUAGCUUCUCGCUCUUUCUUUCAAGAGUUUGAGAAAAGUUAUGAUAAUCGUAUUAUAGAGUGCAAGAUGCAUGAUAUGGUACAUGAUUUUGCCCGAUUUGUAAGUCAAAAUGAAUGUUUUUCGAUGGAAAUUAAUGGUAGUGAGGAACCAAACACCAUAAACUCUCUUGAUGAGAAGGUUCGUCAUUUAAUGUUAAUCUUUAGUAAAGGGGCUUCAUUACCUGUUUCCACUCUUAGAGUUAAAAGAAUGCGUACCCUCUUAAUUAACGAUAGUAGAUCUGAUCAUUCAUUAUUAAAUGGUGAGAUCCUAGAAGAAUUAUUUAGGGAAUUGACAAGUUUAAGGGCAUUAGAUUUUGGCGGAUCGUACACACAUUUUUCUUUGACUCUGGAGAUUCCAAGAAACAUAGAAAAGCUGGUACAUUUAAGAUACCUUAAUUUGUCUUGUCAGAAAAUAGUGGAGCUACCGGAGACAUUGUGCGAGUUAUAUAAUCUACAAAAGUUAGAUAUUAGUGAUUGUUUUAAUCUUAAAGAAUUACCUGAAGGGAUUGGGAAGUUAAUAAACAUGAAGCAUUUACGAAAUAGAAGUACUAGUUCUUUAAGGUACAUGCCAGUAGGGAUUGGGAGAUUAACGGGUCUUAGGACCUUGGGUGAGUUCCACGUGAGUGCAGGAGGAGGUGUUGAUGGUGGGAAAGCAUGUAGGCUUGAAUCUCUUAAAAACUUGGAACACCUUCAAGUAUGUGGUAUACGUAGACUGGGUGAUGUAUCAGAUGUGGGCGAGGCUAAGCGAUUAGAACUUGACAAAAAGAAAUACCUCAUCAGUUUGACCCUUGAGUUUGAAAAGAAGGAGGAAGGAGGAGGAAGGAGGAAGAACGAGGACGAUCAACUUCUUCUUGAAGCCCUACAACCACUUCUCAAUUUAAAGGAAUUAGAGAUACAGUACUACCGAGGCAACACUGUUUUCCCCAGCUGGAUGACGUCAUUAACCAACUUAAAGAGUUUAGAUCUCUCUUUGUGCCUAAAUUGCGAGCAGCUGCCUCCUUUGGGAAAAUUGCCGUCCCUUGAAAAACUCAGCAUAAUGUUUAUGCCUGUGAAAAGAGUGGGUGAUGAAUUUUUGGGGAUAGAAAGUGGUCAUCGUGACUCAUCUUCAUCUUCAUCGGUUAUUAUUGCCUUCCCCAAAUUGAAAUCACUUUCAAUUGAGUCUCUGGACGAAUUGGAGGAGUGGGAUUAUGGGAUUACAAGAACGGGAAACACCGUCAUCAACAUCAUGCCACGUCUUUCUUCAUUGGAAAUUAAUUACUGCCCCAAAUUAAAGGCACUGCCCGACCACAUUCAUCAAACGACAACAUUGAAGGAAUUGCGCAUUUGGGGGUGUGACCUUCUGGAAGAACGUUACCGCAAGGGAGAAGGAGAAGACUGGCCUAAGAUAUCACACAUUCCCAACCUCCAUAUUGGGCUUUGACAAGUAAUUUCUUCUCUUACUCUGAUUUGCUUUGUUGUUGUUUUUAAUCUAAUUAAGAAGCGUAAAUAGCAUUUUGAAUCAAACUCUAUAUCAGAAAUCUGCAAUACUUACUUUCUAAUAUUCUGAUUUUCAUAUCCUAUGAAUAUACGAUUUUUAAUUUGUGAGAUGGGUAACGUUACUGUAAAAGAUUAUUAAUGCAAUAUGAGUAAUUCUUUUGCAGGACAAGUGACCUACAUUUAGUUUGGCUUUGGAGUUGAAUAAUAACCUUUCGGGAACUGGUGUGGACUGGCAAAGGAUGAUGAGAUAGUUUUUUGAGUGAGUAAAUUUUGGGAGCUUGAGUGUAUUGGGAUUUGCAAUUACAAUCAUCCUCUGCUUCAGGUGAUUUCUUCUCUUGCUCUGUCAUUGUUUGUUCUCUAAUUCAAAAGCAUAAAAUAUUUCAAUCAAUUCUUAUACCACGAAUAUGCAAAAGUUUCUAAUAUUUUAUUUCCAUCUGUUACAAGAUCAAACUGAAGCAGAACUCAAACAAAAGUAUGCUACUUCUUGCGGAAAUCUUGCCUUUGUUCAGAUUAUGAAACCAUUUCCAUGCAGCAAAUUCAUCCAAAAGUUUGAAUAAGUUUCAUGGUCGGACACUGUUGGCUUCUUUUUCUUCUGGGGUGCAUUUAGGUGCUAUCAAGUGACAGCUGUAAGUAUGAUUGCACUAAGCUGCUGCUGGGAAAUUUGAGGUUUUGAUGGCUGCCCAUGUUAUUUUCAAGAAACUAUUGAUGUAAGAAGCUGUGGUUCUUUUCAUCAGCUUGAACCUGAAACUGUCGCUAUGGAUAACUCAGGUUUUUGUUAUCAACUAUAUCAUCUUUUUCACUAUUUUGAAACUCUUAAGAUUAAACGUUAGUAAAGUUGUUUCAGCUAUUCAAAUGAAAAACUCAUUGAUUUGAGACUUCCUUCAUUAUUGUUUCUAAUUACAAUGCUAACGAUCCAGAUAAGAUAAUAUUUAAUCGGCGAAGGUGUCCCUUGGAAGUACAUCCUUCUUUUUCUUUUAUUAUAUAAAUUCUUGCAAUGAGCUUAGUGAAGCUGUUGUGCUAAUCAUGCCACUGCAUAAUUUGGCCCCUAAUGUGGGUACUCUGUUACAUUGUUCUGCAAAUUCUCCAGAAGUUAAAAUCAAUAAAUUUUCUAUUAGCUCUAGUGCUUUGACCUAAAUGCUAUUCUAUAUUCUGAUUACAAUGUUUUAACCUUUAAAUUAACUACCCCUAGAUGUUGGAUUUUCUAGAACUUCAAAUUAUAUAUAACCUUUAAAUUAUAUAUUUCUGUGUCUCUAUUUAUAGAUGACAUUUAAGCAUCCAUAAACCGUCAGACAGAGGAAGGGGGUUCAGUGCAAAGAUUCUGUUGACCUAGGGUUGACUGCAUAUGUCACUUGUUCGCAAUCUAAUAUUUAUUUUAUAUUUUGAAAAAUUUAAUGGGUAAUCCUAAUUGUUUGUUUUGGCAGGUAUGUGUUGUUAUCUCCUUCUAUCUUACAGUCGUACCUAAAUAGCAUAGUUUCAUCUGUGUUACCAUGUGAUGUACAUAAUUUCACAUUUGCCUCAGAUUAAGCUUAAUUUCCCACAGAAUAGAGCUGUCGCGACUGGACUUAGUUUGAUGUCCAAAGAGGUAAAUUAUUGGCAUGCCUAGAUAAUUUGGCCAUUUCCUAAUUCAUAAGUCUACAUUAAUUUUGAUUUUGAGUUGACUGAUUUCUUUUCAAGGUCUGCUUCCUUAACGGAGUGACCAAUGUUUUUCAACUAAAUUUAUCAUAUGAUGCAGGAAGCAGGGCAGGAUAUGAAAUGAGAAGCUCAUUGGUGGAAGUAUUGCCAGUAGCAGAACCCAAUGAAAAUGAAACUAUUUCAAGGCAGCAGUUGGCAGUUGCAAGUGAAUGGAGGCCCUUGACAAAAUUCUCAAGCAGUUGCAAUGCAAUUACGAUCAUCCUCAGCCUCAGGUAAUUUCUUCUCCUGCUUUGUUUUUAUUUGUUAUCUAAUUAGGAAGCAUAAAGUAUCUUGAAUCAUUUUCUGUAUCUGGAAUAUAUGCAAGAGUUUCUAAAAUUUUGAUAUGAGUGUAAUGAUGGUAAUUUCUGUUUUCUGUCUGUCAUCAAAUGUUAGAAAACUUUCAUUGAGACCCUUGAACCGAGUCAUUUUUGACAAGUGAAGUGCCGAAGAGUGAAGAGUAAGAAUGGUGCUAGAUUGGGGAAUAAAGCAAAAGGAGGUAAAUUAUUGGCAGCUUCUUCAGCCUUAUUUUCUUUGGACCAGUGCCUAAUUCACAAGUCUCCAUAAUUCGGCUUUUGACCAGUUGAUAGAUAAAAUUUUAAUUUCAUUGGUGCUAAUGUACCCGUGAAGCAGGCAGAGAAGGACUGUGGAAAAGAGAAGGUUUUUAGUGAAAGCUUAAACGCAGGUAAUUCUAUAAAUUAUAUGUUUUUGCUGAUUUAUCUAAAUCAGGAAAUUUUAUUUCCAUCUGUUACAAUAAAACAGAAACAGAACACAAAGAAAAAUAGUCUACCUCUUGUGGCAAUCUUGCCUUCAUUCAGACUAUGAAACCAUUUCCUUUCACCAAUUUCUUCCAAAAGUUUGAACACGUUUCAUGGUUGGACAUAGUUAGCUUCUUUUUCUUUUGGUGCAUUUAGGUGCUAUCAAGUGACAGCCAUAAGUAUGAUUGCAUUAUUGGGAAAUUUUAGGUUUUGAUGGCUCCCCAUGUUAUUGCCAAGAAAUUUUAAGUCCUCAUGUCAGAAGCUGCGUUUCUUUUCAUCAGCCUGAACCCGAACUGAGGUUUUUGUCAUCAACUAUAUCAUCUUUUUCACUGUUUUGAAACUCUUAAGAUUAAACUUCAGUAAAGUUGUUUCAGUUAUCCAUGUAAUCAGGCUAAGGAUAUUUAGCAGCUUAUUUAGGCAACUGCCAGAAUUCAGUUUGUUUGCUCGAAACUUGUAUGGUGACAAGGAUACUGGCAAGGAUAGUGAGAUAGAUUUUUGUGUGAGUGAAUUUUGAAAGCUUGGGUGUUCUGGGAUUUGCAAUUGCAAUCAUCCUCUGCUUUAGGUGAUUUCUUCUCCUGUUCUGUCUUUAUUUUCUCUCUAAUUGAAAGCAUAAAGUAUUUCAAUCAAAUUCUGUACCAGGAAUACGAAAAACUUACUAAUAUUUUAUUUCCAUCUGUUUGCAUUGAUAACUUGGCCGCAUAUGUACUAGUUAAAGAACAAACAGAAGCAGAGUUCAGGAAAAAGUUUCUUCGGCCACCAUAUUUGAAAAUGAAACCAUUUCCAGGAAGCAGUUGGCAGCAAAUUCAUACAAAGUACAGACAAUGAUGAGCAAAAAGGUGAUUCGCAAUUUCAUUUUUUAAAAAUGAAAUUAUUUGUUAAGUUGGAGCUGAUAUUGUUAGAAGGCCAUUGAGCUAACCUAUGACACUACUUGCCUAGAUUGCAGGAGGUCAAGACUCAAAAGAUGCACUGAAUUUUAAAAGGCAUGCAAUAAUUCUUAUGGCCAUUUGUCAAUGGUGGAAUGCUUUUAGCUUCUUUUCCUUUCGUGCAUUUUGGGGUUCUAUCAAGCGACAGCCGUAUGCAUGGAUGGAUAUAGCCGCUGCGUUGAUUUCUAAUGCGUUGUAUGAUGUUAUAGCAACUAUCCAUCUGGUCAAUGUUUCAAAAGAAUAAAACACAGGGAAAAAGAGAAAGCAAGUGGCCAAUCAAGUAUUCAUGUCCCAAAGAAAAGAAUGAUUCGACAAUAGCAUUAAGGGUUAAUUGGACACAAGAGAAGUGUUUUAACCACUUCAAGGAAUGUAAAUGUAAUUUUCUAUUCUGAAGAAAAAGUAAAUAUAUGCACUGUCAAUUAAUCUUUGGUCAACCAGCAACAUUCAUAAUUUCGUGUAAGUUUCAUUUCUGUUUGUUGGAAAUAGCAGUGUAUUUCUUAGAGUUUGUAAAAAAUGGAAAGAUUUUAAAAUAUAAAUUUCACAUCUGUUUAUUACUGUUGUUUGAUCUAUUUUCUUAUGUAGAAUUUUCGGAAUCUGUAGGACAUUAAUUUAUAAUUUUGAGAUUUUGUAGCCAUAAAUGUUUUUGUUCUUUUUUUCUUUUUUUUGUUGGCAUUUUAUUUUGCUCCUUUAUCUAUAUGCAUGUUGACUAAAGCUAAUCUAGAAUCAAUAGAGAGGGAUAUUUAUCUAUUUUGUUUAACAUAAGAGUGCUGUAUAAUUUUUCACUAAAUACACCUACAACAAACUAUUAAUAAUAAAGUGAUAGAAGAAUGCCUAAUUUUUCGUACUUUUUAAUUUCUUUCAGCCCUAAAAUAUAGGUAUUAAUGUCAUAAUAAGCCCAUGUGGAUCUCAGUGCCGCAAGUUCGAUAAAUGGCUAUCAAGGAUUACUUAUUAAGUCAAAAGUAUUCAAAGGACAAAAUGGUAAAACUAUAAGGGUGGAGUAAGAUGGCUACCUUGGGUUACAUAGUAAGUCGACUACAUUCAAAGGAUAAAAUAUUAGAACCUGAACGGCGGAGUAGUCGUCGUUAGAACCUGAACGGCGGAGUAAUCGUCGUUAGAAUCUGAAUGAUAUGUCUAAGACGUUGCAUGCAUCAAGAAAAUUGCAGAUGAUUAAACCUUGCCAUCCAUGCGUUGUAUGAGGUUAUAGCAACUAUCUAUCUGGUCACCGUUUUAAAAGAAUAAGACAAAGGGAAAAAGAGAAAGAAAAGAAUGAUUCGACAAUGGCAUUAAAGUUCAACGUACCCCAAGAUCUUGUAAUAAUGCCAUUAAUCAUUCUCUAGCUAGGCUAGCCUUAGAGAAAAGUGAAACUGUUGCACAGGUAGAAUCACACCCCUCAGAGAUAAUGUAUUUAUUCAGCUCUUCGAAUGAAUGAAGUUUAUUUUCUCGUCAAAAAAAAAAACUGCUCGCUCCGCUGGUUUCAUACAAUGUCAACUAGAAACAUCAUACUUUCGUGUAAGUUCAUUUCAGAAUAUUUCUUAGAGUUUGUAUAAAAUGAAAAGAUUUUAAAAUAUAAAUUUAAUAUUUGUUUAUUACCGUUGUUUGGUCUAAUUUCCUCGGGAGAAUUUUCAGAAUUUAUAGGACAUUAGUUUAUAAUUUUGAAAUUUUGUAACCUAAAUGAUUUUUUUUUCGGUUACCAUUUUGUUUUCCUGCUUUAUCUACGUGUAUGUUGACUAAAACUAAUCUAUUUUGUUAAACCUUUACCACUCUAGACAUUGCACUAAAUAUGAGUUCGUGAUGCUUGCAUUUUAUUGAUGCUGAUGAUUCGUUGAAUGUUUUAUGUUUUUGAUUUUUAAGUAUUCCGGAUCGAAGUUUGUGUCUACGCGGAAAUUGUAAAGGCAGCAUAUAAAGUACUCGUCGUUCUUUAGAUUUUAUUGAGUACACUUUUGUCACAUUUAGCGUAUGCUAUACACUACUGAUUUGCGCAUUGACAUAUAUCUUUUUUUUUUAUGAGAGGGGGCUCGUCAAAACGAGCUAAACAGGAACAAACCGGGGGUUAGAAAUCCCAAACAAGUCUUGCGAAAUGAUAGAAUAAACACCCAUAGGAGGGUUAGAGAACACAUGGAGGCCAAGAGGAGCUGAAUGAGCCAUAUUAGCCAUGAAAUCCGCAGCUGAGUUUGCUUCGCGAUAAAUAUGGGUGAUAGCAGUCUGCCAAUUUCUACUUAGUAAUUCCCGGACAGCUGAUAAUAAAGCAGUGAACGCAUUAGGAACAACCACCUGCUUAGAAAUCAUUUGUGUAAUACAAAUACUAUCCACUUCCACCAACAACCGUUUUAUGCCUACAUCCCAAGCAAGAAUUAGGCCCUGAUACAGCCCCCAAAGCUCAGCCAUAAGCACUGACCUGUCCCCAAUUUUCAUACAAAAGCCGGAUACCCAAUGACCAACUGAGUCUCGAAUAACACCUCCCGCUCCUGCUUCCCAAGUAUUUUUACAGGAGCCAUCUGUAUUUAAUUUACACCAUGGCCAAGGCGACGGCAGCCAAUGAAUAUAAAUCUCCUGUCUCCUCGGCUGCUGGCUUAGGCAAGAAUUAUUUACUCUGCAAAUUUCUUUAGCUCUCGCCAUAACAUCCAUAUAGAUUGUUAGACUAUCCACCAGCUUUCCCUCAAAGAAAAAAUGGUUCCUCCAGAACCAUAGCCUCCAAACUACCACACCAAAGAUACAAUCCCAGGGGAGGGGAGACCCAAUCUUCCAUUUAUUUUGCAGGUUCCCAGCAAUCCAUUCUCGUAAGUUCGAAUUGAAGAAAGUGUUAUGACUGGCCAUCGGAACAAGCUUCCGCCAAACCUGCUUGAUACAGCUGCAGUCUCUCAAUGCAUGGAGGAUAUCUUCAACCGCACCCCCACACCUAUCACAAUCCUCAGGAACAUUAAUAUGGCGCCUAACAAGUUCAUCACGAGUCUUGAGUUUCCCAUGCAUAAGCUGCCAAAGAAAAAGGCGGAUGGAUUGAGGCCCCUUCCAACUCCAUGGAAGCUUCCAAUUUCUGUCAUGAACAGCAGCUUGAUGAUAGCAAAGUGAUUCAUAAGCUGACCGAACCGAAAACAUGCCGCUUGGAUCAAAGCCCCAGUAAAUAAUAUCAGCCCCAAGAUGAGGAGCCGGAGGCAAGACUGAAGCAAUCUGCAUGAGAAUACCAUGCGGCAGAAGAUGCUCAAAGCUCGACCAAUUCCAUCCCCCAUGCCCAUUCGUAAAGUCACUCACAGUGGCAUUGAUAAGCUCGUGAGGAAUCGGCAAGAUGGCAAGGCUGAUCAGAGGAUAUUUCGUAGCCCAACAAUCAACCCAGAAUCGAGUUCUAACACCAUCACGAACUGACCAGCGAGCUCCCUGCACUGUUGCCAACCACGUGCUACGAAUAGCCCUCCAAAUCUGAGAACCCGGUUUGUCUGAAAGAGACAUUGGUAGGUUGCGAGACUCCAAACCAUAUUUGGAGCAGAAGACUUGCACCCACAGUUUAUCCGAAUUGGAAACAACCUCCCAGCUCAAUUUCAUCAACAUCGCCUGAUUCAUUUCGUCCAUUUUUUUGAAUCCCAGGCCUCCAUGUUUUUUCGGCUUGCAAAUUUUGUCCCACCCCACCAUACUCAUCUUGUGACUCUUUGAAUUCCCAUCCCAAAUAAAUCUUCGACAAGCUUUGUCUAUUUUAUGUCUCACUGGAGAAGGAAGUAAGGUCGUUUGCAUGGCAUAAACAGGCAUUGCUUGCAGGACUGAUUGAGCCAGAGUGACGCGUCCAGCAAAAGAUAGAUGAGCCGCGUUCCAACCAGUUAACCGCUUAUCCACUUUAUCAAGGAUGGAUUGAUACGUGUAUUUAUUAACCCGCGAAUGGAUUAAGGGCAUUCCAAGAUAAUCACCCAAAUUAUUUGUGGCCGAAACUCCCAAAGUCGAGCCUAUGAUAUUGGCAUCCCGAGAAGCGACAUUUUUUGAGAAGAAAACUUUAGUUUUCAUUUUGUUGACUUUUGCUUCCGAACUCCUACAAUAAUUAUCCAGAACAGCAUCUACGACAUAAGCUUGAUCAAUUGAAGCUUCCGCAAAUAAAAGCAAAUCAUCUGCAAAAAAGAGAUGCGUUAAAGGAGUUCCAUAUUUGGCCAACCGGAUAAGCCUCCAUCUCCUCUCCAUCACCGCUUGGGUUAUACCAUGGCUUAACCGUUCAAUGCACAGAACAAAAAGAUAAGGCGAGAGGGGAUCGCCCUGACGGAUACCCCUUCCCGGAGUGAAAGCUUAUGUCGCCUCGCCAUUCCACAAAAUACGCAUACUAGCUGAAGUUACGCAUUCCAUGAUUAGUCUAGAUAAGUGAAUUGGAAUACCAGUCUGGUUAAGCGUAUCAAAAAUGAAAUCCCAACUGAGCCGGUCAUAAGCCUUCUCAAGGUCGACCUUAAUGGCCAUAAAUCCUUUCCUGCCAGUUUUUCUGCGCAUAGAGUGAACUACUUCCUGAGCCACUACAAUAUUAUCUACUAUAUGCCUCCCAGGAACAAAGCUCGUCUGAUUGGGGCUUAUUAGAUUGGGCAGCAGUGUUUGCAAUCGAGUGGCUAUAAUUUUAGUCACCGUCUUGUAGGCCACUGUGUAUAGGCUUAUGGGCCUAAACAUCUUUAAGCUAGUGGGGUGCUCCUCUUUAGGAAUCAAAACCAAGAGGGUAGUAUUUAUCUCUUGCGGCACCUUCCCCGUUGUAAAAAUAUCAUGAAUAAACCUGCAAAACGACGGACCAACCACAUGCCAUUGGGAUUGAUAAAAUAUAGCGUGCAAACCAUCCGUACCUGGGGCUUUCAGCGGCUUCAUGCUAAACACAACGUUCCGAAUUUCCUCCCUCAAAAUUGGGGCUGCAGCCCCAUCUACGUCAUGAGAAUCCAAGGCUGGGAAAAAGUUUGGAGCAUGGUAAUUCCGAUAAGUUGCAUUAUCACUUGUAAAUAGGUCAGAAAAAUACCCCACUACAUGCCUCCUUAUAUCCUCCUCAUCAUAUAGCCAAUUCCCCGAACAGUCUCGGAUGGCCUCAAUUCUAUUCCGCCGCCUUCGAGCAAUGGUUUUUUGGUGGAAAAAAUUCGUAUUUCUGUCCCCAUGCAGAAGCCAAUCCUUUCGAGAUUUCUGAAGCCAAAGAAUUUCCUCCGAUUCAUCACCAUUUCGAGCUCAUUUUGCAUGCGGGCUUAUAAGCGCAACAAACUGUUAGAGCUAUAAUUCUCUAGAGUAGCUUGAAUUCCAUUAAUCCGAGCCAUAAGCCGGCGUUUUCUCUGAAAGAUAUUCCCAAACACAUCUCGAUUCCAAGCUUGAACCUCCUGGACAAAAUGAGAGGCUGCUGCACUAUAAUGGAUUUGCGGAUUCCACACCCGCUUAAUAAAGUUAUGAAAAUGCUCGUGAGUUAACCAAGCAGCCAAAAAGCGGAAAGGCCUGUUCCUCCUGUGACCGGCCACAGCUCUCUCAAACCGAACCAGCACCGGCCUGUGAUCCGAGGCAACCUUCGGGAGGUGGAGGACAGAAUUAUUCGGAUACUUAUGUAGCCAAUCACUAUUGCACAGAGCUCUAUCAAGCCGUUUAAAGAGCAAUCCACGUGACCAAGUAAACCUUGGACCUUUAAACUUUAAAUCAAAAAUUUGGUGCCCAUCAAACCAUUUCCGAAACAGAUUACACACUCCUGGGUUCCUGGCCUCACCCCCCUGCUUUUCAGAGGCAUAUAAGAUAGAAUUGAAAUCCCCACCUAUCAGCCAAGGGCCUCGAAUUGAAGGCGCAAGGUUCUCCAUAUGGCUCCACAACUGUCUCCUUAGCAUUGGAUUUGGGCUGGCAUACACAGCCGUUACCCAAGACACAAAGGUCUUAUUCAUACAAAAUUUAAAGUGAAUGAACUGCCUAUGAUUAAUUAAGACUUCCACCUCUAUGGAAUUUCGCCAAAGAAGCCAAAUUCCUCCAGAAAAACCCACAGCUUCCACCCGGUGCGAAUACUCAAAUCCACUUUUCUUUAUAAAGUCAUCGGCUUUAGCACCACUAGUGCGAGGUUCCAUUAACACCACCAUCGAUGGAUUGUAGUUUUUAAUAAUUGUUUUAAACGAGCGCCUAAAUACCCCCGAGGCUGCCCCUUGUACAUUCCAGAACAUGAUACUAGCUGACAUAAUAAAAAUAACAGGAGAGAAACAAACGUCUACUGCUGCUGUCCAAGGACUUCCUCCAUCCACGCCAAUGGCGUUUCUUGAACCAUCUCAACUUCAUUCUCAACCAUCCCAUCGCCAUCAACACCAUUUAUAGGUACAACUGGAUGGUUAUGAGCACUGUCACCUUCAUUCACCCGAUGGAUGGUUUGAUCAUCUGGAGGGUCUGCUACUUGUUGUGGAUCCGGACCUUGCCUCUCUAUGUGUUCCGCGGUCACGUCCCUUUCAUCACCAUUAGGAAGGGUUUGGGAGGAGCAAACAAACACUGUGUGUUUAGAGGGGUCCAGGGUGGUUGCGAAUGGUGCCACGAGUUGAUUGCUAGAAGCUUUCUGAGGGAAAAUAUGGGGUUCAAAGCUUCGGUUUGCAUGAGGUAGGAUGGAUAUUUCCUUCUCUCUGGUGCUGAAGACACUAGGCUGGAGAGGGUUACAGGUAGGAGUUACUGGGACGUUUGGUUUCCUGCUCUGAUUCCUUGCUGCCACGGCCUUAUUUUGCGGCUUACGACGAGCCAUAGUCUUUGCUGAGGUAUCUGCUCUGGCUGUGAAAGUAUGGUUUGAUGCGGGCAUGAAAGGUUGCCGUGAGGUGGAAGGGAAGUCUGGGCAAGCCUCAUGCACAUGGUUUCCACCUUCAUCCGAGACUUUGGAUAAUAUGUGAAACCGUGAGGUACCAGCUCCAGUAAACUCCCUAUUACGGUUUGAGUCUCCAGUGUUCUCCUUACCAAUAUUCGGCUUCCUUCCUCUCCUAGUGGCAAUCAUCCAGGGUCCGAAUAGUUCCACAUUAUUAUCACCAUUACUACCUACAGCCUGCUGGCCAGGAGCCUCAUUUUCCGGCACUGCCUGUUGGGGUUGACCAGCAUCUUCAGGGCUUGUCGAACUCUUAGCAUCCUUACAGUUGCUGCUACUAUGCCCGUAAGAUUCCACACUUAUAACAAAUUACUGGCAAUCCCUCGUAUUCCACCUUCUGGAUCUUCCCAUCCAAUUCAAACUGAGAUACCAGCGGCCUUGUUAACGAGAUACUUACUGCAAGACGUGCAAAUCUUCCACGAGAUGAGGAGGCUGUAUUCGAAUCGAUUUUAAUCACGUUACCCACUAACUGACCCAGCUUCUGUAGAACUUUUCGAUUAUAAAGAUGAACCGCAAGGCCUGGUAAACAGAUCCAUACCGUGACUUGAUCAAGAUCCGCAUUUGUGAAAUCAAAAGAGGGUGUCCAUGGCUGCACAGUUAAAUAUUGACCCAUUAUAAGCCACGGUCCCUUAGUUAAAACAUCCAUAGCAUCCCCUACCGAUCUGAAACGAACCAGAUAAUAAUUGUUUUCCAAGUCAAUCACGGAAAAACCCAUGGCUGAUUUCCACAUGACAUUUAAUCUUGCACACAUAGCUCUAUAGCCAAUUGUGCGGCCAAGCAACUUCACAACCACCGAGUUCUUCCAAGGCUCACUUAACUUAGCAUGAACCCUAGCCGAAAAAGUGAUGGAUGGCAUGGGUCCCUCGUUAGUUUCAAUAAUGUCUCCUUCCUCAAAAUCCCAGUCCUCUAGUCCACCUCCAAUUCCUUGCUCCAUCGCUUGUGUUGCAUUCACUAGGGUUUCUUUGUACGAAAACUGUACAGUGGUAUCCCCAGCAUGUUCUUCAUCACGAAAUCUUGCUUUUUUAAUCGUUCUAGCCUCCCUAAACGGCGGGGGAAAAAUCCCUCCGGAGUUAGGGUUUCCUUCACGUCCGAGGUUUUCGGAGCCUUCCAUAUGGUGUUGAUCUUUUUAAGUCACUCGUUUCAAUAUUUCAUUUAUUUCCUUUUCAAGCUAACAAUUAAUGUAUAUGAAUGUGCGGAUGCAUUGACAUAUAUCUUAUUUUAUCAUUUUGAAUGAAUUGCACGGCGAGGCUUAUCAACUUUGGAUGAAUCCUCCAAUUGUCGCAGUCCAAGACUGGCUGCAGUGAGUGAAAAUUUACCCAUAUAUAUGCUGGCUAUUUUUAUUGGCGACGAAUUCGUUGUAGUUGGUCCAUCUUGCUAUUCUCGGACAAUAUUAGAGAAAAUAAUCAUAUUAUUUCGCGUGAUGUGACCUUCCAUAACGUAUCAAUUGAAUUACUGUAAAAUUAUUGUGUAAGUUUAGGCCCAAUGGCACUUUAGUUCAUCACAUGAUAGCCUGGAUUUAAAAGGAAAACUAUAUUGCAUUGCUUCAAAAAAAAAAUUUAAUGUUUUUAAUAUGAAUAUUUUUAACUAUAUUCAGUUAAAAUAAUAUAUUCUUAAUAUUAAUAUUCAUAGAUGAAAUUCUUUUGCGGAUUUAAGAAUAAAAUAUCAAAUAGUUUUAUUUUUCUUUUGUUGUGUAACUUGGACCGAAAAAGAAAAUGAGCUUAACAUGACCCUCCUUCCGGCACUAUGCAUGUUUUUCUUUUAUUUUUCUUGUAUUGAUGACAGUGCUCUUGGUGCUUCUCAUCUGCUUCUUGCUUUGGUUUCAAACAAGUCUUUCUCCGUCGAGACAUUUAUUGUAAUUUGAUUUGGAGACAUCUGUCGUUCAAAUAUAUUUCAUAUGCAAGCUGUUGAUAAUUCUGCUUGAGAAAGCCUUCAAAGCAGCUGUGUGAUGUAAUAGAAGACUAUAUAUGCAAGCGGGUACCGAGCUCGAAUUCUUUCUUGAGUUUCUUUGAAUUAUUUGUGAAUGAGUUCUUAAUCGGCUGCUGCUCUUCAGGAAAAGGAAAGUGUUGCAAACUGGUGAAGCUGAUCGAUAAAAGCAAUGUACCAUCUUUGCUGCCAUGGAUCGAUGCCAGUGAGUUUUUUAAUUUGUCAACCUUUUUAAUAAUGCAUAUGUGUUUCUUCAACUUGAAGCGGCAUUUAAGACGAAAGAAGUGAUCUUUAAAGCAUUCUAUAGCAUUAUCCUUUCCUAUUAUAUAUAUCCAAUUGCUCCAAAUUAUUUGUAAAUUACUGAACACGAAUGCUGAUGAAUAAACUGAUGGCUCUAUGUAUGUAUGCACAUGCAUGGAGAAAUUUUAAGUCAGACAUUCCCAUAUAUAACUCGUGCUACCAAAUCAUUAAAUAAUCUUGAAAUCAAAGUAAUAAUUAAAUACAAAUAAAUUGCUCGAAUUGUACAUAUAUCUGAAUCAUGUAGUGAAGAAAAUACAACAACAACAACCAAUGGCUCAAAUUCCCCAUCAACUUCUAAUCUCAACACUUUUGAGUGUCAGAAGCAUUACUCUGCUACCAGUUAACAAACAUAUAAUUAGUAAUUUGCCAUUCACUUCCCUUUUAGGCCUAACACAUUUUCUAUAAAGGAGCCACAGAGUGAACUCAGCAGGAAACACUCAAUUUCAACCUACGUAGGACCAGGAAUUUCAACCAAAAAAAAAGUGUGCAAUUGCUUAUCCUAUCCUAUUGCUACUAGAAAGAAAGUGAACAAUUAAUUUCAGUGAAUAAAUUAAAAAAAAUUACUUCUGCAGAUACUCAAGCUAAGAACACAUUAACCCAUUAAAGACUCCAAAUUGCAUCAAACAAAUUGUUGUUAAACAAGUAAAACAAAGAAAGAGAGUUAAGGAAGCUGACCUAGUAGUAGGGGAGCUGAAGAAAGACUGCCAGUGAAUGUAAGAGAAAAUAAAAUGCAAUAAAUGGUGAAGUGCAGCUUUUCAUGUCAACUUGAAAUUGUUUCUUCUGUUUUUUUUUUUUUUAAUCUUUUGGAUUUUUAAAACAAAGAAAAUGAGGAGCAACCAGGGAGAUAAAAAGGGCGCCAAGGCAACUGUGUGUUGGGUUUAGAGCCCAAAAAAAAAGGAGGAUAAGACAUCGUGUUCUUGUGGAGACCAGACCUAUUACGUAACGUCCCCUUCAAUACCACUUGUUCCGUAUCUGGUUUUUUCUUCGUCUUUUACAUAUUUAUCCUGUGAUUUUACAAUAACUAAAUAAUCCCCGCAUAGUUUGCAAUUUUAUUCAUUUGAGCCCUACAGAUUUCAGUAAUAGGUAGAGUUGGCAAAACGGGUCAUCGGGUCGUGUUCGUGUCAUGUCAAAUUUAAGUCGACCCAAACCCGACCCAUUUAAUAAUCGUGUCAAAAUAUUGAGACCUAAAUCCGACACGGAAAAAUAAUCGGGUUACCCAAUAACUCGUUUAAUAUCAAUAUAUUGAACAAAAGUUACAUCAAAUAUUUACACACUAUCAUACAUACAUACAUAAUUUAUCGAUAUUAUAAAAUAUAUAUAUCUACUAAUAUAUUACACAUUUACACUAUUGAGGUUUUAAUUAUAUAUAUAUAUAUAUAUAUACCUACGAUGAUUGUUUAAGCCGCGGUAAACGCUUCUAGAACGCCCUCUGGCAGGAAGGAAGGUACUCAAAGAAAGUGGAGAUGAGGGAAACUCCGCUGGAGUGAGGGGAUUUAUCGGAAUCUCGUUCAGAGUGAGGAGUCAAUGAGGGUUUGCUUGUACUUGUGGUUCUAUUGAUAGGUGUUUGCAAUGGGCUUUCGUCUCAGGUAGUUCAGUCUCCGGGGUUACGCUUAGUUUCAUAUAAAAUAAAUGAAGAAGACAGCUGGACUUCAGAGUGGGAUCCUCCUAUGUUGUCGGCUGUUUGUUUGUCCGCAGCUAUUACAGCUUGUGCUCGAAUAUAUAUGUAUCCAUAUAUUUCCAGAUAUUAUAUAUCAAUAUAUAUAUAUAUUAUUUAUCAAUAUUAUAAAAUCUACAUAUCUAUCAAUUUUUUCACAUUUACACUAUUGAAGCUCUAAAUGUAUUUAAAAUUUUAUAAAUAAAAUAUUAUGUUUAUAUUCACCCUUUUAAAGAAUAAAAAAGAAAAUCAUUACUAAUAUUUGAGUUUUAAUGAUAAGAAUAUGUAAAUUAUUUUAAAAUAGAAAAUAUAAUCGGGUCAUUGAUCGGGUAAAUGGGUCAAGAAUUUUAACUCUAACCCGACACGGAAAAAAAUCGUGUUGACCCGGACCCGACCCAUUUAAUAAUCGUGUUAAAUUUGACGACCCAUAUUCAUUUAUUUAUGUCGUGUUCGUGUCGAGUAAUCGGGUCGUGUCAAAUUUUGCCAGCUCUAGUAAUAGGAAUUAUUAAGGGACAAGAGCGCAAAACAAAAACUCUGUCCACUACUGAUGAUAUAACAACGAACCUUUGUUUUUUUCUUCUUUUUUUUUUACAAAAUAUCAUUAGAGAAAUGAAAAUAUUAACUAACAUCACCCUACUGAUGAUAUAACAACGAACCUUUGUAGUUUCUGCCUGUUAAUAUGAAUUGAUCAGGAGUGUUUCCUCACUUAAAAAUUACGAAUUUACAAAUAUGUAUGUAAGUAUGUAUGUAUGUACGUACGUACGUGAGUAUGUAUGUACAUAUAUGCAUACACCUAUGUAACAUUUACUUAUCCAUCCUUUUGAGUUUAAAACUUAAUACACAUUUUCAUGAAAUUUUUAUUUUAUUAAGUAUACAACUACAGUAAUGUAUAUAUUUUUUAUAUAAGACAUGCCGUCAUAUUAUUCAUAAGUAAAACAAUGUGUUGUAAAUAGUUUAAUUAUUAAAUAUCAUACAAUAUCUUUCAACAACCGGCAAUAGACCUUUACCCAUUUUUCUUUUUCGACCAUUAGAUUCAUUCAGUUUACAUCCAACGGCAGUUUAGGAUGGAGACAAAAAGUGUGGUACGUUACCACAGUGGUAACAUUGGAUUGGGAUUGUAUGUCGUGUUUAAUUUGAAUUGGUUGAUUCCUCUAAUGAAUUAUUUUGAUAAAUUUAGUAGCAGUAUUUGGCGGCAAAAGUAUCAUUAAUUUUUGGAAAUAUGAUUAUGUUAUUAAUUAUUUUAGCAUUCUAAAAAGUCAAUGGUUAUGUUGGAAAUACUCUAAGGUAGAAUAGAGUACAAAUCACAGUCACACAUACAAAAUGAUAAAUAAUAAAAAAUAUAUUAUAUUUUUGAUCAUAUGAUUAUGAAGACGUAUUUUACCUUAAAGAAGUUCUAAUAAGCGAAUUCUUCUAAAACAAUAUAAAAUUUCUUUUUUAUCAUACUCAACCGCUUCAAACUUCUAAGAAGUAGAUAUACAAUGAGUGGAAUACUGAAUUGAGUGCGAGCUGCGGAUAAUAUAUAAAAUUGGGAUACAAGCUUCAAGGAAAGUGUAUUGCUAUUCAAAUGUAGAUUUCAAAUUAAGAAGAUAUGCCAGCAAAUUGUAUAAAAAUGUAUAAAUUGAUCAGUAACAUUAAUUCCAAAUGAUGAAAUGAGUUAUCUUGAUCAAAAGGUCAAGAACCUACCUUACUUCUCUUAGAGAUAACUUGCAUCAACCGUUGUGGUAUUGAUACUUGUCUUCAGCUAGUAAAAGACUAAAAGUGAAAGUUUCACAAUUGAAAUAAAGCUAAGGGAAGAUGCUAUGCUCCAUUUAUUAUUAUUAUUAUUGAUGUGGUCGAGAAGUAAAGCCAUGCAUAUGAUGAAGUAUAAAUAAGAAUGCAAUAGCCCGGAAUUCAUUUACACAAACACUUCAAUAUCCUUUUGAUCACUUUUGCAAACAUCAGUUUGUCUCUUGUAUUCACCAUGGUUGAUGCCAUCGUUUCCUCUCUUGUGGAGCAGCUGACUUCCUUCGCUGCUAAAGAGAUAAUACAACAGGUGAUCGAAGUUACACCCCCCAUAUUAUAAAUACUUCUAAUGAUUUUAAUUGGUUUUGUUUUUAUCGGAAACAUUAACUUUGCUUUAUUUUAUUUAUUUAGGCAUUUUAAAUUUUAAAAUUUGAAUUGAAUUCAAUUAAAAUGUGAUGUAGCUAGUAACCACUUUUUUUAUUUCAUUUAUAUUCUCAAUAACUACCCAUAUUUUGGUAACUUACUGUAACCCCCGUAUCUAAGAAAUGAUUAAAACCCACAAUUUUAACUCCACAUAAAUAUUCCAUGUUGAGCUAAGUUUUUGCAUAACAUUCAAGUUUGUUAAAUAGUCAUUAAUUUAAUGUUUAGUAAAAACUUAUCUCUGAAAAUUUUCAUAAUUUUCUUACAUUCUUUGAGUUUGGUGAGUGACUUCAUAUAAUUUCUUUUCAAUUUAAAUUUUAAUUUGGUUUCUGAUAUAGUCUCUUUACUGAAUUUAUAUCUUUUAUGAUUCUUGGAUUUUGGGCUCCAACUUUUUAGGAUUUGAUAGUCACAUUUUAUGGCAUGCUUAGAUUGAUUUUCAUGAUUUGAGUACUCGUUAAGUGACUGAGAAUUUGACAAAAGUUUGAAAGGAAAUCCGUUUCACGAUUCUUAUGUGGAAGGUUCGUAAAAUCAUGAAAUUUGGAUAGGAUUCGCUAGCAAUAUGUACAAGACUCUUCAUGAAGUUUCAUAAUUUUUCGUUCGGUCUGGGGUGGUACAGGUGAAACUUGUGGUUGGUGUUAAAGAAGAAGUGAAAAGCCUUAUCAGCCACCUUCAAGCCAUUCAAGCUGUGCUCGAUGAUGCAGAGGAAAAGCAAGUGAAGGACAAAGCUGUUAGACAUUGGCUGGGCAGGCUCAAGUAUGCAUCCUACGACAUUGAAGAUGUGUUGGAUGAGUGGAUCACAGCUAGACACAAAUUGCAAAUUGAGGGUGGCGUUGAUGACAAUGCUCUUGCUGCUCCUCAAAAGAAAAAGAAGGUAUGUUUCUGCUUUCCUGCCUCUUGUUUUGGAUUCAAACAAGAAGAAUUUGGUUUCAGACAAGUCUUUCUACGUUAUGACAUUGCCAACAAGAUCAAAGAAAUGAAUAAAGAGCUACAUGAUAUUGCCACUCAAAAAGACAUGUUUAAUCUUGUUAAGAGUGGCAAUAAAAGUGGUGAAAGACCAAGGCGUGUACAGAGUACCUCCUUGAUUGAUGAGGAAGAGAUUUGUGGUAGAGUUGGUGAGAAGAAUGAACUCAUAAGCAAGCUGUUGCGUGAGAGUAGCGAGCAACAAAAAGGCCUCCAUAUGAUCUCAAUUGUUGGUAUGGGAGGCAUAGGGAAAACUACUCUUGCACAACUAGCUUGUAAUGAUGACGUGGUGAAGAGAAAGUUCGACAAAAUUCUGUGGGUGUGUGUAUCAGAAACUUUUGAGGAGUUUAGGGUUGCCAAAGCAAUCGUUGAAGCUUUGGAUGGUCGUGAAUCUCAUUUAGGUGAAUUCCAAUCUCUUCUUAAACAUAUUGAUGAAUCCAUUGCAGGGAAGAGCUUUCUUCUUGUCUUAGAUGACGUGUGGGAUGGAAAUUACUUGAAAUGGGAACCAUUCUAUCGUUGUCUAAAGAAUGGUCUCCAUGGAAGUAAAAUUUUAGUUACCACACGUAGUGGGUCCGUUGCAUCCACGAUGGGAUCCAUAGAUAUUAUUCCCAUUGAGAAAUUAGCUGAAGAGGAAUGUUGGUUGUUGUUUAACAAGAUAGCAUUUUUUGGUAGGCCUAUCGAGGAACGUGAAAAAUUCGAACGAAUUGGGCGAAGAAUUGCUGGCAAGUGCAAAGGUUUACCUCUUGCAACAAAGACAAUAGGUAGUCUCAUGCGUUCUAAACAAACUGAAGAAGAGUGGAAAAGAAUUUUAAAUAGUGAUUUAUGGAAAGUAGAAGAGAUUGAGAAAGAUGUUUUGUCCUCUUUAUUGUUGAGUUACAAUGAUUUGCCAUCUAGAGUAAAAAGAUGUUUUUCAUAUUGUGCUCUCUUUCCAAAAGACUACGAUAUAGAAAAAGACAAACUAAUCACAUUGUGGAUGGCUCAAGGUUAUCUUAGUGCAGAAGAAGAUGAGGAGAUGGAGACUAUAGGUGAAGAGUAUUUUAGCAUCUUAGCUUCUCGCUCUUUCUUUCAAGAGUUUAAGAAAAGUUAUGAUAAUCGGAUUAUAGAGUGUAAGAUGCAUGAUAUGGUACAUGAUUUUGCCCGAUUUGUAAGUCAAAAUGAAUGUUUUUCGAUGGCAAUUAAUGGUAGUGAAGAACCAAACGCCACAAACUCUGUUGAUGAGAAGGUCCGUCAUUUAAUGUUAAUCUUUAGUAUAGAGGCUUCAUUACCUGUUUCCACUCCUAGAGUUAAAAGAAUGCGUACCCUCUUAAUUAACGAUAGUAGAUCUGAUCAAUCAUUAUUAAAUGGUGAGAUCCUAGAAGAAUUGUUUAGGGAAUUGACAAGUUUAAGGGCAUUAGAUUUUGACAAAUUGUACCACUCAAUUUGGUCUUCGACUCUGGAGAUUCCGAGAAACAUAGAAAAGCUGGUACAUUUAAGAUACCUUAAUUUGUCUUCUCAGAAAAUAGUGGAGCUACCGGAGACAUUGUGCGAGUUAUAUAAUCUAGAAAAGUUAGAUAUUAGUUUUUGUU
This 35868-nucleotide long non-coding RNA is filed under the name Citrus x clementina. Its description in RNAcentral is "Citrus clementina (C. clementina) long non-coding RNA (CCLE_LNC002331)". The record is from RNAcentral. Lineage: Eukaryota; Viridiplantae; Streptophyta; Magnoliopsida; Sapindales; Rutaceae.